GGGUCGGCAUUAGCUCAAGCAGUUACUUCCUCACACUGGACUUUCCAUCCAUCUAAUUCCUGCACUGGGGUUCGAGACCUGUGGGUGAUUUCUUUUUUU
Molecule: vault RNA, 99 nt
Filed under: Propithecus coquereli (Coquerel's sifaka)
Lineage: Eukaryota; Metazoa; Chordata; Mammalia; Primates; Indriidae
Description: Vault RNA (ENSPCOG00000002926.1)
Rfam family: Vault RNA
About the family: This family of RNAs are found as part of the enigmatic vault ribonucleoprotein complex. The complex consists of a major vault protein (MVP), two minor vault proteins (VPARP and TEP1), and several small untranslated RNA molecules. It has been suggested that the vault complex is involved in drug resistance.
Source: Rfam by way of RNAcentral